ACCGGCGAUUUCCGAAUGGGGAAACCCAGUGUGUUUCGACACACUAUCAUUAACUGAAUCCAUAGGUUAAUGAGGCGAACCGGGGGAACUGAAACAUCUAAGUACCCCGAGGAAAAGAAAUCAACCGAGAUUCCCCCAGUAGCGGCGAGCGAACGGGGAGCAGCCCAGAGCCUGAAUCAGUGUGUGUGUUAGUGGAAGCGUCUGGAAAGGCGCGCGAUACAGGGUGACAGCCCCGUACACAAAAAUGCACAUGCUGUGAGCUCGAUGAGUAGGGCGGGACACGUGGUAUCCUGUCUGAAUAUGGGGGGACCAUCCUCCAAGGCUAAAUACUCCUGACUGACCGAUAGUGAACCAGUACCGUGAGGGAAAGGCGAAAAGAACCCCGGCGAGGGGAGUGAAAAAGAACCUGAAACCGUGUACGUACAAGCAGUGGGAGCACGCUUAGGCGUGUGACUGCGUACCUUUUGUAUAAUGGGUCAGCGACUUAUAUUCUGUAGCAAGGUUAACCGAAUAGGGGAGCCGAAGGGAAACCGAGUCUUAACUGGGCGUUAAGUUGCAGGGUAUAGACCCGAAACCCGGUGAUCUAGCCAUGGGCAGGUUGAAGGUUGGGUAACACUAACUGGAGGACCGAACCGACUAAUGUUGAAAAAUUAGCGGAUGACUUGUGGCUGGGGGUGAAAGGCCAAUCAAACCGGGAGAUAGCUGGUUCUCCCCGAAAGCUAUUUAGGUAGCGCCUCGUGAAUUCAUCUCCGGGGGUAGAGCACUGUUUCGGCAAGGGGGUCAUCCCGACUUACCAACCCGAUGCAAACUGCGAAUACCGGAGAAUGUUAUCACGGGAGACACACGGCGGGUGCUAACGUCCGUCGUGAAGAGGGAAACAACCCAGACCGCCAGCUAAGGUCCCAAAGUCAUGGUUAAGUGGGAAACGAUGUGGGAAGGCCCAGACAGCCAGGAUGUUGGCUUAGAAGCAGCCAUCAUUUAAAGAAAGCGUAAUAGCUCACUGGUCGAGUCGGCCUGCGCGGAAGAUGUAACGGGGCUAAACCAUGCACCGAAGCUGCGGCAGCGACGCUGAUGCGUUGUUGGGUA
This 1086-nucleotide ribosomal RNA is filed under the name Escherichia coli. Its description in RNAcentral is "partial 23S ribosomal RNA". It matches the Rfam family "Bacterial large subunit ribosomal RNA", at positions 103 to 1230 of the family's 2925-position model. Lineage: Bacteria; Pseudomonadati; Pseudomonadota; Gammaproteobacteria; Enterobacterales; Enterobacteriaceae. The record is from RNAcentral.